Molecule: long non-coding RNA, 1809 nt
Organism: Cercocebus atys (sooty mangabey)
Lineage: Eukaryota; Metazoa; Chordata; Mammalia; Primates; Cercopithecidae
Exons: 3
Source: RefSeq, a predicted model, not a curated record
CGGGUUCAGGCGAUAGUGAUGGUUGCACAGGAAAGAUCGUCUGAGUAGCUGAGUAAGAGACUGCAGAGUCAUCCUAUGGAAGGGUUAGGACGCUGCGACAGACAGAAUUGUGACCUUGCAGGGACAUCAUAUUCUCCAGCCUCCCUUGCAGCGAGGCCAUGUGGGUGGCUAAGUUCUCACUGAUGGAAUAAGUUAUGUGUGCACCAUCUGGGUGAAGCUUUGAAGACAGUAGACUUAGCUCCUCCAUGCUCUCUUUUUUCCUUGUUUGCGAGCUGGUAUAUGGACUUACCUAAGACCCAAUCUACAGAUGGGGCAAAUGCCUUAGGGAUUAAUGGAGAAAUAAAAUGAAAGAAAUUUGGGUCUGUAGAUGGUUGCAUGAAGCAGAGUUGCAUGUUGAACCAAAACGAGAGAGAGAAAUAAACUUCUGUCUAUUUAAAAUAUUGCAUUUUGGACUUCUCACUUCUUUUUACUAAAGCUUAGACUUUUGUCAUAAUAAACACAGUAAUUGGUUCCAGAAGUGGGGUGUAGCCAUUAGACUAGAUGGCAUUUGAUUAACGGCUGGGUUGUGAGGACACGGAUAUUUCAGGCUGGAAAGCUGGGUAUCCUCCUUAGGCCAAGGCAAAACAUAUAAUCUUACAGAACUAGGAAGACAGUUAAAAUGGUAAUUGAACCUGAAUUUCUAGAUGAAGUGAUUAAAAAGUGGCAGAACAUGGUUGUGAGUUGGUUGCUUCCUGUUGCUUUUAGCAAAGUGUUAUAAGAAAGAUGUGGACUUAGUGGUCAAGAACUUGGCCAAUAUGCAAACAGAGAUGGAAGAAUCCACAGAUAAAAGUCCACAAAGAGUUGGAGAAGUCUUCUGACCCUGAUCUCUCCAACAGUGAGUGGUAAAUAAGGUUUUUCACUUAAGGUACUUGUUUCAAAUGUCCUCAGGCAGCCACCAUUAUCAUGGCAGAGAGACUUGGGUAAACUAAGGAAUAUAAAAAUCCGAUGUCUUCAGAAGAACUUUUGGUGUGGUUACUGACUGGGAGCAAAUACCUCACUAAGUGUUUCAGAGAAUUGUCUUGAAACCAUGAGCCCAGCCUGUGUGUCAGCCUUAAGGAAAUCCCUAAUUUGCACCACAGGAAUCAGGAACUGCAGAGUUCCCAAGCAGGGCACCCCCCUCAAAACUCACUCUAGAUGUGGUCAUGGAAGAUAAGUGGACAAGGAAGAAAAACCCAGAUAGAAAAACCAGUGAACAACAGACAAUGGUGUUUCCUGGAGAGAUCCACCAGAGUCUCACCAAAUGAUUUAUUCUACUUUACAAGCAGAGAGUUAAAAAAAAUCCUGCCCAGCAAGAUUUGAUCAUUACUCUGUGCUAGCAACUGGUAUAAUAUUGUGUAUUCAAUGAGGAGAGGGCCAGAUAAAUUGACUUUUAGUUUACAAAUUAUUGGAUCAUGAGAGAAAUAGUAAGACCUGCCUGAUGAAGAGACUGUGCUGUGUUUUAGCCAGAGAUUUUGGACUCUGAGCUGGAUGCAUCAAUGACAUGGGAUAUUAGAUUGCCUUCUUCCAGGAAGGGUAUAAAGGUAUUCUAUGGUGGGAAGAAGCAUGUUUUUAUAUAUUUGGUGGCUACAGGAUGGAAUGUGGACUGCUAGCACUCCACAAAAAUCCAUUCUCCCCUACUAUAAUAACAAAAUCACAGCCUAGCAACUUAGUUGACCAUGUUUUACCAAAUAUUUUGCCUUGGCCUAAGGAGGAUACUCAGCUUUCCAGCCUGAAAUAUCUGCGUCCUCACAACCCUAUCAUUAAGCAAAUGCCGUCUAUUUUUAUGGUGUA